UGCCAUAUGCUUGUCCAAAGAUUAGCCACGUGCACUCAGUACGCCGAAUUAGUGAAACGCGAAUGGCCUCGAUUAAAUCAGGUAUGGUUCAUUAGAUCAAUUGACCCACAUUUGGGAUAACCGUGGUAAUUCUACGACUAAUACACUGCAAAACACGAGUCCCGACCAGUAGAUGGAGGGACGCUUUAUAAAUCAAAACCAUCGGUGGCGCGGGUCCCUGUGCGUCCGCCGUUAUCCUGGUGACUCUGAAUAACUUUGAGCUGAUCGCGUCCUCGGUACCGGCGACGCAUCUCUUCAAAUGCUGCCUGCAACUUCGAUGGCAGGUUCUGCGCCUACCAUGGUUGCUAAAGUACGGUAACGGAAUCAGGGUCUGAUUCGGAGGGCCUGAAAACGGCCACAUCCAAGGAAGAGCAGAGGCGCGCAAAUACCCACCCCGGCACGGGAGGGAGUGGACGAAAGUAAUACGAUACAUGGACAUCCGAGGCCCGUAAUCGAAUGAGCUACACUUUAAAUCCUUAACGAGAUCCAUGUGGAGCGGCAAGUCUGCGUCCAGCAGCCGCGGUAACUCAGCCAAUAGCGCUAUAAAAGUGUUGCGGCAAAAACGCUCUAGUCUGUGAUCUGACACCGUCGGUUCACCCUGCGGUGUCUAAACGUGAUGUGGACGUCCUACCGGUGUAUCAGCUGCGGGCGCAACUGAUAUCCUCAGCAGGGCUUUACUGAGUGUCGAGUCGGGCCGGUACGUUAUUUGAAAACAAUUAGAGGCGUUAAGAGGCUACCUUCGCCUGAAUACUGUGUGGAAUACAUGGAAUGGACUCUGUUUCUAUUUUGUUGGUUUCAACCCUGAGGUAAUGAAUUAAAAGGACAGAUGGGACAUUCGUAUUGCGACGUUAGAGGUGAAAGUGCUUGGAUCGUCGACAAGACGGAGCCAAGGAAAGCAUUUGCCAAAAAUGUCGACUAAUCAGAACGAAAUUAGAGGUUGAAGGCGAUCAGAUACUGCGCCUAGUUCUAACUAUAAACGUGCCAGCUAGCGAUCGCCGAAGUUCUCUCGAUGACUGGCGGGCAGCUUCGGAAACCAAAGCUUUUGGGUUCGAAGUUGGUUGCAAAGCUGAAGCAAAGGAAGAUUGACGAAGGGCACCACAGGAGUGGGCCUGCAGAGCUUAAGUGACGCUCAACACGAAACCUUACCAGCCAGAACUUUGAACGGGAAUUGACAGAUUGAUGCUCUUUCUUGAUUCGGUGGUGGCAGGGUGAUGGCUGGAUUCUUAGUUGGUGGAUGCUUUGUCUGUACAUUCCGAUAACGAACGAACGAAUACAGCUGCAAAAGGCGUACCUUAGGUAUCGCGAAGGCCUCAGGCCCCGGCCGGGUUUACCUAUACGCAACAAAUCUUGAGGGACAGGCGGCUCAGUCAACGACGUUGAGCAAUACAGGUCUGUAUGCCAUAUAGGAUGUUCAAAUACCGCGCUAUGGCGACUAGCCUGAAGAUCAGCGGUGUUCCUGAGCCGAAAGGCCCAGAUCAACUCCGCUGAACCUCCUUCGUGCCCAGGGAUGGCGCUUGUACAUUGUUCCCCAUGAGGUGAAUUCUCGUCAAGCGCGAGUCCUAAGCUCCGCGUGAUCCACGCCGUCCUGCCCUUUGUACACACCGCCCGUCAUAGCCGAUUGAAUGAUGUUGAGCAGUCUGGCUGGACUGGCGCGGCAAUUCUCCGGCAUUGCCUGUGCUCGUAGAAGAUGACCAAACUGAUCAUUUAGAGGAAGUAAAGUCGAACAAAGGUUCCGCUAGGUGAACCUGCGGAAG
This 1793-nucleotide ribosomal RNA is filed under the name Ooceraea biroi (clonal raider ant). RNAcentral's name for it is "SSU rRNA". It matches the Rfam family "Eukaryotic small subunit ribosomal RNA". The record is from RNAcentral. Lineage: Eukaryota; Metazoa; Arthropoda; Insecta; Hymenoptera; Formicidae.